This 116-nucleotide ribosomal RNA is filed under the name Gopherus agassizii (Agassiz's desert tortoise). Lineage: Eukaryota; Metazoa; Chordata; Testudines; Testudinidae. The record is from RNAcentral.
GGCAGCAGUUAUUCUAUCUUGGAAUGUGAUCUCUCCAAAUCUCAUAUGCUAAGCAGGGGAAACUUGGUUGAUAAGUGGAUGGGAGACCUCCGAAAAUCACCUAGUUUUUGCAGGAA